This 497-nucleotide ribosomal RNA is filed under the name uncultured bacterium. RNAcentral's name for it is "partial 16S ribosomal RNA". It matches the Rfam family "Bacterial small subunit ribosomal RNA", at positions 28 to 507 of the family's 1533-position model. The record is from RNAcentral.
GAUGAACGCUGGCGGCGUGCCUAAUACAUGCAAGUCGAGCGAACGGACGAGAAGCUUGCUUCUCUGAUGUUAGCGGCGGACGGGUGAGUAACACGUGGAUAACCUACCUAUAAGACUGGGAUAACUUCGGGAAACCGGAGCUAAUACCGGAUAAUAUUUUGAACCGCAUGGUUCAAAAGUGAAAGACGGUCUUGCUGUCACUUAUAGAUGGAUCCGCGCUGCAUUAGCUAGUUGGUAAGGUAACGGCUUACCAAGGCAACGAUGCAUAGCCGACCUGAGAGGGUGACCGGCCACACUGGAAGUGGGACACGGUCCAGACUGCUACGGGAGGCAGCAGUAGGGAAUCUUCCGGAAUGGGCGAAAGCCGGACGGAGCACCGCCGCGUGAGUGAUGAAGGUCUUCGGAUCGUAAAACUCUGUUAUUAGGGAAGAACAUAUGUGUAAGUAACUGUGCACAGCUUGACGGUACCUAAUCAGAAAGCCACGACUAACUACGUG